UAUUACCGAAGCUGUGGAUUGUCCUUUGGACAAUGGUAGGAGAGCGUUCUAAGGGCGUUGAAGCAUGAUCGCAAGGACAUGUGGAGCGCUUAGAAGUGAGAAUGCCGGUGUGAGUAGCGAAAGACGGGUGAGAAUCCCGUCCACCGAUUGACUAAGGUUUCCAGAGGAAGGCUCGUCCGCUCUGGGUUAGUCGGGUCCUAAGCUGAGGCCGACAGGCGUAGGCGAUGGAUAACAGGUUGAUAUUCCUGUACCACCAUUAUUCGUUUUAAGCGAUGGGGGGACGCAGUAGGAUAGGCGAAGCGUGCUGUUGGAGUGCACGUCCAAGCAGUGAGAUUGAGUGUUAGGCAAAUCCGGCACUCUUAAGAUUGAGCUGUGAUGGGGAGAGGAACUUGUUCCUCGAGUCGUUGAUUUCACACUGCCGAGAAAAGCCUCUAGCUAGAAUAACGGUGCCCGUACCGCAAACCGACACAGGUAGUCAAGAUGAGAAUUCUAAGGUGAGCGAGCGAACUCUCGUUAAGGAACUCGGCAAAAUGACCCCGUAACUUCGGGAGAAGGGGUGCUCUUUGAGGUUCACGCUUCGAAGAGCCGCAGUGAAUAGGCCCAAGCGACUGUUUAUCAAAAACACAGGUCUCUGCUAAACCGUAAGGUGACGUAUAGGGGCUGACGCCUGCCCGGUGCUGGAAGGUUAAGAGGAGUGGUUAGCGCAAGCGAAGCUACGAAUCGAAGCCCCAGUAAACGGCGGCCGUAACUAUAACGGUCCUAAGGUAGCGAAAUUCCUUGUCGGGUAAGUUCCGACCCGCACGAAAGGCGUAACGAUUUGGGCACUGUCUCAACGAGAGACUCGGUGAAAUCAUAGUACCGGUGAAGAUGCCGGUUACCCGCGACAGGACGGAAAGACCCCGUGGAGCUUUACUGUAGCCUGAUAUUGAAAUUCGGUACAGUUUGUACAGGAUAGGUAGGAGCCUUAGAAGCGUGAGCGCUAGCUUACGUGGAGGCAUUGGUGGGAUACUACCCUAAUUGUAUUGGAUUUCUAACCCGCAGCACUUAUCGUGCUGGGAGACAGUGUCAGGCGGGCAGUUUGACUGGGGCGGUCGCCUCCUAAAGAGUAACGGAGGCGCUCAAAGGUUCCCUCAGAAUGGUUGGAAAUCAUUCAUAGAGUGUAAAGGCAUAAGGGAGCUUGACUGCGAGACCUACAAGUCGAGCAGGGUCGAAAGACGGACUUAGUGAUCCGGUGGUUCCGCAUGGAAGGGCCAUCGCUCAACGGAUAAAAGCUACCCCGGGGAUAACAGGCUUAUCUCCCCCAAGAGUUCACAUCGACGGGGAGGUUUGGCACCUCGAUGUCGGCUCAUCGCAUCCUGGGGCUGUAGUCGGUCCCAAGGGUUGGGCUGUUCGCCCAUUAAAGCGGUACGCGAGCUGGGUUCAGAACGUCGUGAGACAGUUCGGUCCCUAUCCGUCGUGGGCGUAGGAAAUUUGAGAGGAGCUGUCCUUAGUACGAGAGGACCGGGAUGGACAUACCUCUGGUGUACCAGUUGUCGUGCCAACGGCAUAGCUGGGUAGCUAUGUAUGGACGGGAUAAGUGCUGAAAGCA
This 1588-nucleotide ribosomal RNA is filed under the name Staphylococcus pseudintermedius. RNAcentral describes it as "partial 23S ribosomal RNA". It matches the Rfam family "Bacterial large subunit ribosomal RNA", at positions 1189 to 2779 of the family's 2925-position model. The record is from RNAcentral. Lineage: Bacteria; Bacillati; Bacillota; Bacilli; Caryophanales; Staphylococcaceae.